GCGUCCGUGGUGUAGUGGUCAGCACGCUCGACGCCUAUUCGAGAGGUCCGUGGUUCGAGUCCUGGUGAAGGCA
Molecule: transfer RNA, 73 nt
Filed under: Stegodyphus mimosarum
Lineage: Eukaryota; Metazoa; Arthropoda; Arachnida; Araneae; Eresidae
Rfam family: tRNA
About the family: Transfer RNA (tRNA) molecules are approximately 80 nucleotides in length.
Source: Rfam by way of RNAcentral